Molecule: ribosomal RNA, 407 nt
Filed under: bacterium enrichment culture clone ALO1_GLFRUDD03FRH7P
Lineage: Bacteria
Description: bacterial SSU rRNA
Rfam family: Bacterial small subunit ribosomal RNA
Source: RNAcentral
GAGUUUGAUCAUGGCUCAGAUUGAACGCUGGCGGCAUGCCUUACACAUGCAAGUCGAACGGCAGCACGGGGGCUUGCUCCUGGUGGCGAGUGGCGAACGGGUGAGUAAUGCAUCGGAACGUAUCCUGGAGUGGGGGAUAACGUAGCGAAAGUUACGCUAAUACCGCAUAUUCUGUGAGCAGGAAAGCGGGGGACCUUCGGGCCUCGCGCUCUUGGAGCGGCCGAUGUCGGAUUAGCUAGUUGGUGAGGUAAAGGCUCACCAAGGCGACGAUCCGUAGCAGGUCUGAGAGGAUGAUCUGCCACACUGGAACUGAGACACGGUCCAGACUCCUACGGGAGGCAGCAGUGGGGAAUUUUGGACAAUGGGGGCAACCCUGAUCCAGCCAUGCCGCGUGAGUGAAGAAGGCC